UCAAAACACUAUUAUCUCUCCCUUUUCAAGUG
Molecule: non-coding RNA, 32 nt
Filed under: Mus musculus (house mouse)
Lineage: Eukaryota; Metazoa; Chordata; Mammalia; Rodentia; Muridae
Source: RNAcentral